UGCAGUCGAGGGGCAGCGAAACACUUCGGUGUUGUCGGCGACCGGCGAACGGGUGCGUAAUGCGCAUGCAAUCUACUUUACACUGGGGAAUAGCCUCCGGAAACGGGAAUUAAUACCUCAUGUAAUCUUAUUAACGCAUGUUAAAAAGAUAAAAGCUCCGGCGGUGUAAAAUGAGCGUGCGUCCUAUUAGCUAGUUGGUGAGGCAAUGGCUCACCAAGGCUACGAUGGGUAGGGGUUCUUAGUGGAAGAUCCCCCACACUGGCACUGAGAUACGGGCCAGACUCCUACGGGAGGCAGCAGUAGGGAAUAUUGGUCAAUGGGCGAAAGCCUGAACCAGCCAUGCCGCGUGCAGGAUGACAGCUCUCUGAGUUGUAAACUGCUUUUGUACAGGAGCAAAACAAUCCCUGCGGGGGUUCUUGAGAGUACUGUAAGAAUAAGCACCGGCUAAUUCCGUGCCAGCAGCCGCGGUAAUACGGAAGGUGCAAGCGUUAUCCGGUUUUAUUGGGUUUAAAGGGUGCGUAGGCGGCUUAUUAAGUCAGUUGUGAAAUCCUAGUGCUUAACGCUAGAACUGCAAUUGAUACUAUUAGGCUUGAGUUAAGAAUAGGUAAGUAGAAUUUAUGGUGUAGUAGUGAAAUGCUUAGAUAUCAUAAGGAAUACCAAUAGCGUAGGCAGCUUACUGGUCUUUAACUGACGCUGAGGCACGAAAGCGUGGGGAGCAAACAGGAUUAGAUACCCUGGUAGUCCACGCCGUAAACGAUGAUCACUCGGUAUACAUAAAUUUAUGUGUGUCUAAGCGA
RNAcentral lists this ribosomal RNA (797 nucleotides) under Cardinium endosymbiont of Bemisia tabaci. RNAcentral's name for it is "bacterial SSU rRNA". It matches the Rfam family "Bacterial small subunit ribosomal RNA", at positions 56 to 854 of the family's 1533-position model. Lineage: Bacteria; Pseudomonadati; Bacteroidota; Cytophagia; Cytophagales; Amoebophilaceae. The record is from RNAcentral.